Molecule: ribosomal RNA, 1556 nt
Filed under: metagenome
Description: bacterial SSU rRNA
Rfam family: Bacterial small subunit ribosomal RNA
Source: RNAcentral
AGAGUUUGAUCCUGGCUCAGGACGAACGCUGGCGGCGUGCUUAACACAUGCAAGUCGAACGGACUUUCCAGGACGGAAUCCUUCGGGAGGAAGACCUGGCGAGUUAGUGGCGGACGGGUGAGUAACGCGUGGAUAAUCUGCCCAAUAGACCGGGACAACAGUUGGAAACGACUGCUAAUACCGGAUAAAGUAGCUUGCGGCAUCGCAGAGUUACCAAAGGAGGCCUCUUAACAAUGCUCCCGCUGUUGGAUGAGUCCGCGUACGAUUAGCUAGUUGGUGGGGUAAUGGCCUACCAAGGCGACGAUCGUUAGCCGACCUGAGAGGGUGGCCGGCCACACUGGGACUGAGACACGGCCCAGACUCCUACGGGAGGCAGCAGUGGGGAAUCUUCCGCAAUGGGCGCAAGCCUGACGGAGCAACGCCGCGUGAAUGAAGAAGGCCUUCGGGUCGUAAAGUUCUGUCUUUAGGGACGAAUGCACGAUUGCGAAUAGUUGUUGUGUUGACGGUACCUGAGGAGGAAGCUCCGGCUAACUACGUGCCAGCAGCCGCGGUAAUACGUAGGGAGCAAGCGUUGUCCGGAAUUACUGGGCGUAAAGGGCGCGUAGGUGGACAUUUAAGUCAGAUGUGAAAACUCUGGGCUCAACUUGGAGAUUGCAUUUGAAACUGGACGUCUUGAGGGUAGGAGAGGAAAGUGGAAUUCCUAGUGUAGCGGUGAAAUGCGUAGAUAUUAGGAGGAACACCAGUGGCGAAGGCGACUUUCUGGACUAUACCUGACACUGAGGCGCGAAAGCGUGGGGAGCGAACGGGAUUAGAUACCCCGGUAGUCCACGCCGUAAACGAUGGAUACUAGGUGUAGGGGGUAUCGACCCCUUCUGUGCCGCAGCUAACGCAAUAAGUAUCCCGCCUGGGGACUACGGUCGCAAGACUAAAACUCAAAGGAAUUGACGGGGACCCGCACAAGCGGUGGAGCAUGUGGUUUAAUUCGACGCAACGCGAAGAACCUUACCAGGGCUUGACAUCCCGCGCUAUCCAUGGAAACAUGGAGUUUUGGCCUUCGGGCCGAACGCGGUGACAGGUGGUGCAUGGUUGUCGUCAGCUCGUGUCGUGAGAUGUUGGGUUAAGUCCCGCAACGAGCGCAACCCCUACUUUUAGUUGCCAGCAUUAAGUUGGGCACUCUAAAGGAACUGCCAGUGACAAACUGGAGGAAGGUGGGGAUGACGUCAAAUCAUCAUGCCCUUUAUGUCCUGGGCUACACACGCGCUACAAUGGCCGGUACAGAGGGCUGCUAAGGAGCGAUCUGGAGCCAAUCCCAAAAAGCCGGUCUCAGUUCGGAUUGCAGGCUGCAACCCGCCUGCAUGAAGUCGGAAUCGCUAGUAAUCGCGAGUCAGCAUAUCGCGGUGAAUACGUUCCCGGGUCUUGUACACACCGCCCGUCACACCACGAAAGUUGGCAACACCCGAAGUCGAUGGGCUAACCGCAAGGAGGCAGUCGCCUAAGGUGGGGUUGAUGAUUGGGGUGAAGUCGUAACAAGGUAGCCGUAUCGGAUGCGGCUGGAU